This 729-nucleotide ribosomal RNA is filed under the name Mallocybe gymnocarpa. RNAcentral describes it as "eukaryotic LSU rRNA". The stretch from base 303 to 456 matches the Rfam family "5.8S ribosomal RNA". Lineage: Eukaryota; Fungi; Basidiomycota; Agaricomycetes; Agaricales; Inocybaceae. The record is from RNAcentral.
GUAGGUGAACCUGCGGAAGGAUCAUUAUUGAAUAUAAACUUGGUAGACUGUUGCUGGCUUUCUUGCAUUGUGCACGUUUAUCAUCUUUAUUUUUCCACCUGUGCACCCUUUGUAGGCUUGGAUUUAUACUAAUCUGUCUUGUAGAAGACAUGUUUAUUGUGGGACUGCUGUGUUUAAACACACAUGAUGUUUAUCGGCUUUCCCUUUUAUUUUUCCAAGCCUAUGUUUUUCACAUCACACUCCAACAUUUUUAAUAGAAUGCUGUACUUUUAGGUCAUUCAUACCUAUUAUAAAAUCAAUACAACUUUCAGCAACGGAUCUCUUGGCUCUCGCAUCGAUGAAGAACGCAGCGAAAUGCGAUAAGUAAUGUGAAUUGCAGAAUUCAGUGAAUCAUCGAAUCUUUGAACGCACCUUGCGCUCCUUGGUAUUCCGAGGAGCAUGCCUGUUUGAGUAUCAUUAAAUUAUCAACUGUGCCAAUCAUUUUUGUUUGGUUUUACAGAUUGGAUAUGGGGGAAUUUUUUGCAGGCUUCUUUCUUUGGAAAGAAAGUCAGCUCUCCUGAAAUGCAUUAGCAGUGCCUUCUGUUGGUGUGAUAACUUAUCUUACGCCUUUACAUGGUACCUUCAUUGAAAAAUAUGAGGUCACAUACUGCUUCUAGUCGUCUCUUUUUUGAGACUUACAUUUUAUGACCAUCUUGAUCUCAAAUCAGGCAGGACUACCCGCUGAACUUA